Non-coding RNA from Myxocyprinus asiaticus (Chinese sucker), 1234 nucleotides. The record is from the annotation of a RefSeq genome assembly. Lineage: Eukaryota; Metazoa; Chordata; Actinopteri; Cypriniformes; Catostomidae.
CUUAUUUCUGCUGUUCUCCUGUAACGGUCACAUUUUCUGGUGAGAGGAAACAGUUUUGAAUGUGUGUCCCACCCCUCUGAUUAAAGCACAAUAUCAGACUGUCUGUUAGUCAGGACUGUCAAACCAACAUCACUGUUCCUUCAGUUCUCACUCAUUCACAGUAAAGAUGACAGCACACGCUCUCAUUAUCUGCUCUCUACUGCUUUUCAUUGCUGAGUGUAAUGGACAGAUCACAGUCACUCAGAAUCCCUCAACAACAGCAGCUCAACCAGGACAACAAGUUAAAAUAAACUGUAAAACCAGCAGUGGAGUGUAUAAUGGUAACAACUUGCACUGGUACUUACAGAAACCUGGAGAAGCUCCUAAACUCCUCAUAUAUUAUACAAACCGCCUGCAGUCUGGAACUCCAUCUAGAUUCAGUGGCAGUGGAUCUAAUAGUGAUUUCACUCUGACCAUCAGUGGAGUCCAGACUGAAGAUGCAGGACAUUAUUACUGUCAGAGUUAUCACUACAUCAACAGUAAAGAUGUGUUCACACAGUGAUAAAGAGUCGUACAAAAACCUCCUUCAGUGAAAGAGGAACUACUGAUACAGAAACAGUUUCUCUGAAUGUUACAUUAUAAAUUGACAUGGACACAAAGUUUUUGAUUUUUAUAUUUCACACUCAACACUACAUAUGAAACUGGAUGACACAUUUUAUUAUAAAUUCAGUAAUUUUUGGUUUAUGUUUUACUGGCUGAUAUGACACUAGUCUUAAACUUUACUGACACCUAUCCAUGUGAAUACAGCAUCAUGCAAACAUAAAACAUUUGUUUUCACAGAUGUCAUAUUUUAAUGUAAUUCAUAACUUUAAACAUUUGACUUGUUUCACCCCCUCAAUUGGACAGGCUCAUAUAAAGUGAGAGGUGAUGUCACAUACAUGCACUGUAAAAAAAAAAAAAAAAAAAUCCACAUUUUACAGAAAAUAACUCUAAAUUUUUACAGUAGUUUUCUGUUUUUCAAAUUUGUAUUCAAAACUCUGUAAAAUUACAGACAUUAUCUGUAAAUUAACAACCCAACUGUCAUUUGAAGUUUUUUGACAAUAAUGACAAAUUACAUGUAUUUCUCAUUUAUUUACAGAAAAAUUACUAUAUUAUUUUUACCGUAUUUUUUCUGCUUUCUAAAAUUACAGACAAAUGUAUGUAAAAUGAUAAUAAUUAUCUGUAAUUAAAUAUGUAGAUCAUUAUAUAAAGGUUU